This is a non-coding RNA of Pelobates cultripes (western spadefoot toad), 234 nucleotides long. The record is from the annotation of a GenBank genome assembly. NCBI's taxonomy places the organism in Eukaryota, Metazoa, Chordata, Amphibia, Anura, Pelobatidae.
GUCAAUUGGCGGCACACUCCAACUCUCCGGUGGUCCCGCUUUCGGUAGUUGGAAUCUACCGAACACCCCGGCAGAAAGGCACGAAUAAAAUAAACGGAUUAACCUGCAGGGCCAUAGUCCACAGGGAGCAGGCGAGCAACCAGGCUUCUCCAGUUCACAGUGGCGAGGUUGGUUUCGCCACACUUGGGUUCUGACUCACUGUCAGUUUCUUCCGACUGAAGAGCUGGGAGUACA